RNAcentral lists this ribosomal RNA (440 nucleotides) under uncultured bacterium. RNAcentral's name for it is "partial 16S ribosomal RNA". It matches the Rfam family "Bacterial small subunit ribosomal RNA", at positions 338 to 795 of the family's 1533-position model. The record is from RNAcentral.
CCUACGGGGGGCAGCAGUGGGGGAUAUUGCACAAUGGGGGAAACCCUGAUGCAGCGACGCCGCGUGUGGGAAGACGGUCCUCUGGAUUGUAAACCACUGUCCCCAGGGACGAAGAUGACGGUACCUGGGGAGGAAGCUCCGGCUAACUACGUGCCAGCAGCCGCGGUAAUACGUAGGGAGCGAGCGUUGUCCGGAAUUACUGGGUGUAAGGGGAGCGUAGGCGGGACUGCAAGUUGGGUGUAAAAUCUACCGGCUCAACCGGUAGCCGCACUCAAAACUGCAGUUCUUGAGUGAAGUAGAGGCAGGCGGAAUUCCUAGUGUAGCGGUGAAAUGCGUAGAUAUUAGGAGGAACACCAGUGGCGAAGGCGGCCUGCUGGGCUUUUACUGACGCUGAGGCUCGAAAGUGUGGGGAGCAAACAGGAUUAGAUACCCGUGUAGUC